This 463-nucleotide ribosomal RNA is filed under the name uncultured bacterium. Its description in RNAcentral is "partial 16S ribosomal RNA". It matches the Rfam family "Bacterial small subunit ribosomal RNA", at positions 28 to 507 of the family's 1533-position model. The record is from RNAcentral.
GACGAACGCUGGCGGCGUGCUUAACACAUGCAAGUCGAACGGUGAACCUCUUCGGAGGGGAUCAGCGGCGAACGGGUGAGUAACACGUGGGCAACCUGCCCCCGGCUCUGGGAUAACUCCAAGAAAUUGGGGCUAAUACCGGAUGUUCACCGCUUCCCGCAUGGGUGGUGGUGGAAAGGGUUUCCGGCUGGGGAUGGGCCCGCGGCCUAUCAGCUUGUUGGUGGGGUAGUGGCCUACCAAGGCGACGACGGGUAGCCGGCCUGAGAGGGUGACCGGCCACACUGGGACUGAGACACGGCCCAGACUCCUACGGGAGGCAGCAGUGGGGAAUAUUGCGCAAUGGGCGGAAGCCUGACGCAGCGACGCCGCGUGGGGGAUGACGGCCUUCGGGUUGUAAACCUCUUUCAGCAGGGACGAAGCGCAAGUGACGGUACCUGCAGAAGAAGCACCGGCCAACUACGUG